Molecule: long non-coding RNA, 794 nt
Organism: Capsicum annuum
Lineage: Eukaryota; Viridiplantae; Streptophyta; Magnoliopsida; Solanales; Solanaceae
Exons: 3
Source: RefSeq, a predicted model, not a curated record
GGACUUCUACUACUGGCUCAACUCAAGUCAAAGGAAAAAGUAGAAAUAACCUGCUUCCUACACAUUCUUUUUUUAAAGCAAAUUUUAGUGGCUGGUUAGGCCAUUUUAUUUAACAGCUAAAAGGAAAGAAGUUUGGCUUAAAGACCCAAAAAAUAAAAUAAAAAUACAACAUCUAUAAAUUGAUUUAGGUCCAUCCCAAUUUCUCCAGGCCCUAUCUAUAUAUUCUGACAAUUCUCCACAAAAGAAGUACUCUUUUUACUUCCUCCUGACCUCCAAAAUGUUGCCUCCUUGUUAUGGAUGGAAUCUUUCUCUACGUUUGCUUCUUCUCUAGUUUAUUUGUGCUCCAGUACCUGAUUUGUUCGUCUUCUCCUUUACGCAUAAGACGUGUCACUCAACCAAGGUGAAUGGUGUUCUAGUGCAAGAAAUCAAAGGAGGAAGCAAUUCGGAGUUUGUUGUCUCCCAAAGGUUUGGAGGAACAAUCUCAUGGCCCGGUGUAGUACUAGAUUUAGUCAGACAUCAUCCAGAGUUUGUGAGCCAUCCAUCUUUCAGUAGGUGGAUUAUUGUAAAUGUAUUUUUUAGUAUUUCUUUUCAUUCCAUGGUAUGGCCGAGGCCUUGUCUCAUCUUAGACAAUUUAGUCUUGUUUAAAGGCUUCGUAGACUAGUUUGACAAUAAUUUUGUUAUGAUGUUUUAUUCAAAGUUUGGGAUCUCCAUUUUUUUUAGAUUUUUAGACUUUCUUGAAUUUCAUUGCAUUUCUGCAAUUCUAUGUAAACUAUGCUUUUGAUAGAAUUCUAAGG